GUUGAUUUUGAAUCUGAUCCUUGGCCUUCCAUUUCUAGUGGUGCAAAAGAGUUGUUGAAGAAGAUAUUCAGGGAAGAUCCAAAAGAGAGGCCUUCUGCAACUGAAAUUCUGAACCAUCCAUGGGUUAGAGAAGAUGGGGAGGCAUCUGAUAAGCCAAUUGACAUUACAGUACUAAAUAGAAUGAAACAGUUUGUGGCUAUGAACAAGCUUAAAAAAAUAGCUUUGAAGGUGAUUGCGGAGAAUCUUUCAGAAGAAGAAAUCAUGGGUUUGAAAGAAAUUUUCAGAUCCAUGGACAUUGAUAAAAGUGGAACAAUUACAUUUGAAGAACUAAAA
Molecule: unclassified non-coding RNA, 333 nt
Filed under: Hevea brasiliensis (rubber tree)
Lineage: Eukaryota; Viridiplantae; Streptophyta; Magnoliopsida; Malpighiales; Euphorbiaceae
Source: RNAcentral